Long non-coding RNA from Dreissena polymorpha, 291 nucleotides. RefSeq lists it as uncharacterized. NCBI's taxonomy places the organism in Eukaryota, Metazoa, Mollusca, Bivalvia, Myida, Dreissenidae. The record is from RefSeq and is a predicted model, not a curated record. The transcript is spliced from 3 exons.
CAGAAUCCACUGCUAGGACAGCCACUGUUAACACAGCCACUGCUUCAACAGCCCAGGCAGGGACAGCUAUUGAUGAAGAGACCAGUAAUGCCACACCAGAAUCCACUAAUAGCACACCCACUGCUAACACAGUCAUAGCGACUGCUACCACAAAACAGGCAGGGGCAGCUGCUGAUGAAGACUCUGAUGACGGGCCCGUGAAGGCCCUGACACAGGACCGGCCUGACAAUGAGGAAAUACCACCCGGUGAUGACCAACCUGAGGAGGUCCGUGCUACUGCUGGUGCUGAAG